RNAcentral lists this ribosomal RNA (374 nucleotides) under uncultured organism. Its description in RNAcentral is "partial 16S ribosomal RNA". It matches the Rfam family "Bacterial small subunit ribosomal RNA", at positions 527 to 896 of the family's 1533-position model. The record is from RNAcentral.
GUAGGUGGCAAGCGUUGUCCGGAAUUAUUGGGCGUAAAGCGCGCGCAGGUGGUUCUUUAAGUCUGAUGUGAAAGCCCCCGGCUCAACCGGGGAGGGUCAUUGGAAACUGGGGAACUUGAGUGCAGGAGAGGAAAGUGGAAUUCCACGUGUAGCGGUGAAAUGCGUAGGUAUGUGGAGGAACACCAGUGGCGAAGGCGACUUUCUGGCCUGUAACUGACACUGAGGCGCGAAAGCGUGGGGAGCAAACAGGGAUUAGAUACCCUGGUAGUCCACGCCGUAAACGAUGAGUGCUAAGUGUUGGGGGGGUUUCCCGCCCCUCAGUGCUGCAGCUAACGCAUUAAGCACUCCGCCUGGGGAGUACGGUCGCAAGACUG